This 253-nucleotide ribosomal RNA is filed under the name uncultured bacterium. RNAcentral's name for it is "partial 16S ribosomal RNA". It matches the Rfam family "Bacterial small subunit ribosomal RNA", at positions 524 to 776 of the family's 1533-position model. The record is from RNAcentral.
UACGUAGGGACCAAGCGUUGUUCGGAUUUACUGGGCGUAAAGGGCGCGUAGGCGGCGCGGUAAGUCACUUGUGAAAUCUCUGAGCUUAACUCAGAACGGCCAAGUGAUACUGCAGUGCUAGAGUGUGGAAGGGGCAAUCGGAAUUCUUGGUGUAGCGGUGAAAUGCGUAGAUAUCAAGAGGAACACCUGAGGUGAAGACGGGUUGCUGGGCCGACACUGACGCUGAGGCGCGAAAGCCAGGGGAGCAAACGGG